This 1458-nucleotide ribosomal RNA is filed under the name uncultured bacterium. RNAcentral describes it as "16S ribosomal RNA". It matches the Rfam family "Bacterial small subunit ribosomal RNA". The record is from RNAcentral.
GACGAACGCUGGCGGCGUGCUUAAUGAAUGCGAGUCGAGCGAGAACCGGACUGAGGAAACCUUCGGGUGGAAUCAGUCUGGGGAGAGCGGCAAACGGGUGAGUAACACGUGGGUAACCUGCCCCUCAGACGGGGAUAAUUCGCCGAAAGGCGGACUAAUACCCGAUGGUGAUGUGCCAACACAUGUUGAUACAUCUAAAGGCUCCGGUGCUGAGGGAGGGGUCCGCGGCCGAUUAGCUUGUUGGUAGGGUAACGGCCUACCAAGGCUUCGAUCGGUAGCCGGUCUGAGAGGAUGACCGGUCACACUGGGACUGAGACAUGGUCCAGACUCCUACGGGAGUUAGCAUCAGGGAAUCUUGCGCAAUGGGCGAAAGCCUGACGCAGCGACGCCGCGUGGGUGAUGAAGGCCUGCGGGUCGUAAAGCCCUGUCGGGAGGGAAGAAACAGCACCUUCGGGUGCUUUGACUGUACCUCCGGAGGAAGCCCCGGCUAAUUACGUGCCAGCAGCCGCGGUAAUACGUAAGGGGCCAGCGUUGUCCGGAAUUACUGGGCGUAAAGAGCACGUAGGCGGUUAGGAAAGCGAUAGGUGAAAUCCCCCGGCUCAACCGAGGAACUGCUUAUCGAACUGCCUGACUAGAGCACGGGAGAGGGCACUGGAAUUCCUGGUGUAGCGGUGGAAUGCGUAUAUAUCAGGAGGAACACCGGUGGCGAAGGCUGGUGCCUGGAACGUUGCUGACGCUAAGGUGCGAAAGCCAGGGGAACAAACGAGAUUAGAUACCCCGGUAGUCCUGGCCGUAAACGAUGGACACUAGGUGUUGGAGGUUCGACCCCUUCAGUGCUGUUAAGCUAACGCGUUAAGUGUCCCGCCUGGGGAGUACGGUCGCAAGGCUGAAACUCAAAGGAAUUGACGGGGGCCCGCACAAGCGGUGGAGCAUGUGGGUCAAUGGGAUGAUACGCCGAGAACCUUACCAGGGCUUGACAUGACCCUGAUCCCCUGCGAAAGCAGGUCUUCUGGGCAACCAGACAGGGCCACAGGUGGUGCAUGGUUGUCGACAGCUCGUGUCGUGAGAUGUUGGGUUAAGUCCCGCAACGAGCGCAACCCUCGCCGGAUGUUGCCAGCGGUUAGGCCGGGCACUCUUCCGGGACUGCCGGAGUAAUCCGGAGGAAGGGGGGGAUGACGUCAAAUCUGCAUGCCCCUUAUGUCCUGGGCUGCACACGUGCUACAAUGGCGAGUACAAAGGGUCGCGAAGCCGCGAGGCCCAGCUAAUCCCCAAAAACUCGUCCCAGUUCGGAUUGGAGUCUGCAACUCGACUCCAUGAAGUCGGAAUCGCUAGUAACCGUGGAUCAGCAAUGCCGCGGUGAAUACGUUCCCGGGCCUUGUACACACCGCCCGUCAAGUCACGGAAGCCGACAGCACCCCAAGUCCGCUACGGCGGCCCAAGGUGAGGUCAGUGACUGGG